GAUGAACGCUGGCGGCGUGCCUAAUACAUGCAAGUCGAGCGAACGGACGAGAAGCUUGCUUUUCUGAUGUUAGCGGCGGACGGGUGAGUAACACGUGGAUAACCUACCUAUAAGACUGGGAUAACUUCGGGAAACCGGAGCUAAUACCGGAUAAUAUUUUGAACCGCAUGGUUCAAAAGUGAAAGACGGUCUUGCUGUCACUUAUAGAUGGAUCCGCGCUGCAUUAGCUAGUUGGUAAGGUAACGGCUUACCAAGGCAACGAUGCACAGCCGACCUGAGAGGGUGAUCGGCCACACUGGAACUGAGACACGGUCCAGACUCCUACGGGAGGCAGCAGUAGGGAAUCUUCCGCAAUGGGCGAAAGCCUGACGGAGCAACGCCGCGUGAGUGAUGAAGGUCUUCGGAUCGUAAAACUCUGUUAUUAGGGAAGAACAUAUGUGUAAGUAACUGUGCACAUCUUGACGGUACCUAAUCAGAAAGCCACGGCUAACUACGUGCCAGCAGCCGCGGUAAUACGUAGGUGGCAAGCGUUAUCCGGAAUUAUUGGGCGUAAAGCGCGCGUAGGCGGUUUUUUAAGUCUGAUGUGAAAGCCCACGGCUCAACCGUGGAGGGUCAUUGGAAACUGGAAAACUUGAGUGCAGAAGAGGAAAGUGGAAUUCCAUGUGUAGCGGUGAAAUGCGCAGAGAUGUGGAGGAACACCAGUGGCGAAGGCGACUUUCUGGUCUGUAACUGACGCUGAUGUGCGAAAGCGUGGGGAUCAAACAGGAUUAGAUACCCUGGUAGUCCACGCCGUAAACGAUGAGUGCUAAGUGUUAGGGGGUUUCCGCCCCUUAGUGCUGCAGCUAACGCAUUAAGCACUCCGCCUGGGGAGUACGACCGCAAGGUUGAAACUCAAAGGAAUUGACGGGGGCCCGCACAAGCGGUGGAGCAUGUGGUUUAAUUCGAAGCAACGCGAAGAACCUUACCAAAUCUUGACAUCCUUUGACAACUCUAGAGAUAGAGCCUUCCCCUUCGGGGGACAAAGUGACAGGUGGUGCAUGGUUGUCGUCAGCUCGUGUCGUGAGAUGUUGGGUUAAGUCCCGCAACGAGCGCAACCCUUAAGCUUAGUUGCCAUCAUUAAGUUGGGCACUCUAAGUUGACUGCCGGUGACAAACCGGAGGAAGGUGGGGAUGACGUCAAAUCAUCAUGCCCCUUAUGAUUUGGGCUACACACGUGCUACAAUGGACAAUACAAAGGGCAGCGAAACCGCGAGGUCAAGCAAAUCCCAUAAAGUUGUUCUCAGUUCGGAUUGUAGUCUGCAACUCGACUACAUGAAGCUGGAAUCGCUAGUAAUCGUAGAUCAGCAUGCUACGGUGAAUACGUUCCCGGGUCU
This 1372-nucleotide ribosomal RNA is filed under the name uncultured bacterium. Its description in RNAcentral is "bacterial SSU rRNA". It matches the Rfam family "Bacterial small subunit ribosomal RNA", at positions 28 to 1381 of the family's 1533-position model. The record is from RNAcentral.